Molecule: ribosomal RNA, 253 nt
Filed under: uncultured bacterium
Lineage: Bacteria
Description: partial 16S ribosomal RNA
Rfam family: Bacterial small subunit ribosomal RNA
Source: RNAcentral
UACGUAGGGUGCAAGCGUUGUCCGGAAUUAUUGGGCGUAAAGAGCUCGUAGGCGGUCUGUUGCGUCGGCUGUGAAAACCCGGGGCUCAACUCCGGGCCUGCAGCCGAUACGGGCAGACUAGAGUUCGGCAGGGGAGACUGGAAUUCCUGGUGUAGCGGUGAAAUGCGCAGAUAUCAGGAGGAACACCGGUGGCGAAGGCGGGUCUCUGGGCAUUACCUGACGCUGAGGAGCGAAAGUGUGGGGAGCGAACAGG